This 63-nucleotide transfer RNA is filed under the name Cadlina koreana. Its description in RNAcentral is "tRNA-Cys". The record is from RNAcentral. Lineage: Eukaryota; Metazoa; Mollusca; Gastropoda; Nudibranchia; Chromodorididae.
GACUGUAGUUUUAACAAAAUAAUAAGGUGCAAAUUUAUCGAUGGGGAAACUUACCUCCAGUUU